GAUGAACGCUAGCGGGAGGCCUAAUACAUGCAAGUCGAGCGGUAGAGUGACUUCGGUUGCUUGAGAGCGGCGAACGGGUGAGUAACGCGUACACAAUCUACCUUUAAGAGGGGAAUAGCCCUGGGAAACUGGGAUUAAUGCCCCAUGGCAUCACGAGACGGCAUCGUUUUGUGAUUAAAGCUGAGGUGCUUAGAGAUGAGUGUGCGUCUGAUUAGCUAGUUGGUGCGGUAACGGCGCACCAAGGCGACGAUCAGUAGGGGGCGUGAGAGCGUGGACCCCCACACGGGGUACUGAGACACGGACCCGACUCCUACGGGAGGCAGCAGUAAGGAAUAUUGGUCAAUGGAGGAAACUCUGAACCAGCCAUCCCGCGUGCAGGAAGAAUGCCCUAUGGGUUGUAAACUGCUUUUAUCUGGGAAGAAAGUCGGGAUUUAUCCUGAUCUGACGGUACCAGAGGAAUAAGCACCGGCUAACUCCGUGCCAGCAGCCGCGGUAAA
This 497-nucleotide ribosomal RNA is filed under the name uncultured bacterium. Its description in RNAcentral is "bacterial SSU rRNA". It matches the Rfam family "Bacterial small subunit ribosomal RNA", at positions 28 to 524 of the family's 1533-position model. The record is from RNAcentral.